This 404-nucleotide ribosomal RNA is filed under the name uncultured Pseudomonadota bacterium. RNAcentral describes it as "bacterial SSU rRNA". It matches the Rfam family "Bacterial small subunit ribosomal RNA", at positions 29 to 456 of the family's 1533-position model. Lineage: Bacteria; Pseudomonadati; Pseudomonadota. The record is from RNAcentral.
AACGAACGCUGGCGGCAGGCCUAACACAUGCAAGUCGAGCGAGUGUAGCAAUACACGAGCGGCGCACGGGUGAGUAGCGCGUGGGAAUCUACCCUGUGGUGGGGGACAACCUUGGGAAACUGAGGCUAAUACCGCAUACGUCCUUCGGGAGAAAGACUUCGGUCGCCAUAGGAGGAGCCCGCGUCCGAUUAGCUAGUUGGUGAGGUAACGGCUCACCAAGGCGACGAUCGGUAGCUGGUCUGAGAGGACGGCCAGCCACACUGGGACUGAGACACGGCCCAGACUCCUACGGGAGGCAGCAGUGGGGAGUAUUGGACAAUGGGGGAAACCCUGAUCCAGCCAUGCCGCGUGAGUGAUGAAGGCCUUCGGGUUGUAAAGCUCUUUUAGCGGGGAAGAUAAUGACG